RNAcentral lists this transfer RNA (65 nucleotides) under Selenops bursarius. RNAcentral's name for it is "tRNA-Ala". The record is from RNAcentral. Lineage: Eukaryota; Metazoa; Arthropoda; Arachnida; Araneae; Selenopidae.
GUUUUAUGAGGUAGGUAGUUUAUAAUUGAUUUGCAAUCAAUUGAUAUGGUAAUCCAUACUUAUGA